UAUCCUGUGUGUAUCUACUGCACGCCGCGAGAAGAACAUCACACAGGUUCAGGCAGGAGUCGCUACAUGCGCAGAGGAUACCUUUACUGAAGACACAAGUAAUCGUAGUUCAUAGCAGUGAUGCAGAAGUAGGAUACAGCCAGCUGAACGCUUGAACAAGUGGAUGUGCGAUAAGGAAGACGCCGGAGAAAGUGGAGUUACAGCCUUCCCUGUGGUGGCGGUGGCGGCGACGUGGACUACCGCCGGGGGUUCGUGGCGGCGGCGGCGACUGCCCGACAGCCCGGCGGCUCGAGGGCGACGAAUGCGAAACCCGUGCAGGCAAUGCAGGGUCUUUACUCCCAACUGAAGGACUCUGAGAGCGGCUGGACUCUGUAACCUAUCGUAGCUAGCUGGCUGGCGGUAGUAGCAGCAGCAGGGGUUAGGAGGUGUUGUUUGGAAGAUGUGCGGGCAACUGCAAGGGCAACAGAGACAGUGUGGUCAUGUGCGGUGACAUCAUCCUGGCCCGGAUUCAUUCAUGUCGUACAUGGAUCACCCAACGUUUCAGGUGGUGGCGGAGGAGGUGGCGGCUACCGGCGCGGCGUUGUCCCGGGUGCGUCUGGUGGACCUGGCGGAGGUGGCGGCGGCGAGGGUGGCAGAGGUGGCGGCGGCGAGGGUGGCGGAGGUGGCGGCGGCGAGGGUGG
Molecule: long non-coding RNA, 680 nt
Filed under: Volvox carteri
Lineage: Eukaryota; Viridiplantae; Chlorophyta; Chlorophyceae; Chlamydomonadales; Volvocaceae
Description: long non-coding RNA (VCAR_LNC001933)
Source: RNAcentral